Long non-coding RNA from Zalophus californianus (California sea lion), 3931 nucleotides. RefSeq lists it as uncharacterized. NCBI's taxonomy places the organism in Eukaryota, Metazoa, Chordata, Mammalia, Carnivora, Otariidae. The record is from RefSeq and is a predicted model, not a curated record. The transcript has 5 exons.
CCGCGCCCCGCGGGGGUUUUUUAGGCACUUCCCGGCCUCAGGGGACGCAAAAUUAAGUCGGGCCACCGCCCGUCGGGGACGCUGGGUGUCUGGGGUGGCAGUCCGCUUGCUCCAGCCCCUUGGGCUCCAAAGUGGGUAGGGACGUAGAGAAAGAAUAAAACGUCCAAGUUGGCAGAGUGCGCCCCCCCAUCUGUUUAUUUCAGAGUCCCAUUUCUCGGAUGGGCAAGUUGGGCUUCCGAGCCCCAAGAAAAAACUUGCAAGUGGCGAGGCUAGCAGGCCCUUCCUGCGGCCCGCUGCCCUUCGGGGACAGCGUCCUGUGACGCGCCCGCCGCGGCCGCCAGCCCGCCCGAGAGGCCGCCAGCGAACCGGAGCGCGGGACGGGACACCCCGGCCAGGGUGGCGGCCCCGCACCUGUCCCGGGGAGCACACUCAGGGGCCACGUGUGGCCGCCUGCGUCACGUGCCAGCCCCCACCUCCCCCGGCCAGAACCCGCGUGGCCGCGCGGGGUGGGCCGCCCGGCCUCCCGUUAACCUGCGCCGCGAGGCGUCCCCGUCACCCCUGCCUGCGGCUCCAGCCCCUGGAGGAAGCGGCCACGCAAACGAGCCGUGACCGCACAGAGGCAAAACCGACCCUCCAGAUGUUGGUGGCAAGGACAGGAGCCACCAGGGCGUGCAGAAGCCGGCCAGGGCACCACCCCUCAGGAGCUGCCACAGCGCGCUCCUGCAAAGUCUCUUGUCACCAAAAAGUAACUUUUCGGAGGGGAGAAUCUUGGCAGUCUUGUUCCUGGUUGAAUCUUUAAAAGAUUGGCUCCACACCCAACGUGGGUCUGGAACUCACGACUCCGAUCAAAAGUCACAUGCUCCAUGAACUGAGCCAGCCAGGUGCCCCUGUACUUUCAUUUUUAACAUCCUUCCAGACUUCUAAGAAAACUGCCCCUUUGGAAACAGAGCCCCACUGUGGGCAUGUGGGAUCACCAGGGAAGCUGCUGGCUGAGCUGAGGAUAAACACCAGCGAUUCUAUUCUCAGUGACUAACUUCAACAUGAAUGCCAACACGUAUAACAGGAAAUCAGAUGAUGCAAGGCAAAGCAGGAGCAUCAGACUUUGAAAUGACAUGGGGCUUUAGGUGAUAGCCAGGCCCGCUGGUUUGCAAGCGCACACUGGUCCAGCCCUGAGAAGCCGCUCUUGCAGAAACACCUAGGAACCUGACUUAUUCAGUAGAAAAUAACUGCCCCAGAGGUGGGAGUUAGGGUCUUGUGAAAGUUUAAAUUAGGAGAAAUUACAGUUGAAGAGCUUAAAACCAGAGGAAAACACGGAGGGAAUGGACAUCACAUCUGUGAGCAUUCAGAGAAAUCAUUUAAAUUCACUAAGAUUAUUCUAACAACAACAAAAAUAGCAAUGAGUAGCAUUUUCUGCACACGAAGCAAUGCUAUGUUUGUUCCCUUUUUAAGAGGAAUCCUGUGACCCCUCUCCCCACAAAACCCAGUAUUGAAGUUCAGGCCUGAAUCACUCUGGAUACACGCCCCUUGGAGAGGCUUGACCCAAACCAGUUAAAAAAAAAAAAAAAAGAAAGCGCCAAAGAGCCAAAUUCUUGGCUUCCACCAGUUCCUAAACAGGCUUUUGAAAUUCAUGGCAGAGAUAAUAACCUUGAAAGCCAAGGCUUUUGAUUUGCAAGAUUCGCAAAAGAGGCUCUUUUUUUUAAACGUCUCUGAACUGGUUUUGAGUAGCAAGACUUUGGAUUCAAAAGCAAAUCCCUGAAGGAAUCUUGGAAUAAAGUUUCUGCCACAACAGACAAUACAUCUGUGGGGGGAACUGAUGAAAAGUCAGAUUAUCCUGUCCCUGAGGGUGAAAAUGUCCAAAAAACAAAAAACAAAAACAAAAACCCAGAGAGGAGGAAUUACAAAUUCCAGGGGGCUAAAGAAGGGGAAAAACAAGGUUGGCGGUGAGCUGAGGAGCUAAUCAUUGUUGCAAUUGCCUUCAUUAUUCCAGUCUAUUUCUGUUUUUUUCUUUUCUUUUUUGUUAAGUAAGCUCUACACCCAACGUGGGGCUUGAACUCAUGACCCUGAGAUCAGGAGUUGCAUAUGGUCCACCGACUGAGCCAGCCAGGCGCCCUUAUUCUCUCUACUUUUUUGAAAUUUUUCAUAUUAAAAAUUCUGCGAUUGUUAGUUUUAAUGGGGAAGCUGGGAGACCAGCAAGAAGGUUAUCACAAUCGUGCAGGCAAGAAGUGGUGGUUGUGUGGGCCAGGGUAGCUGAGAUGGGGUGGAUGUGGGAAGCUGGAGAGAGGCAGAUGGAUAUCUGGUGGUCGCCCACUGGAUUACAUCCCCAUGCAUUUUCCCUCCUCCUUCACCUCAGGAGUUUGCACGCAGUACUCCGGGAUGGGGGUGCGGGAAGGUUAAGAGAAGAGCGUGCUAGAUUAGCACCGCAGCGGUUCCUGAGAAGGGUCUCUGCCCCAUGGAGCCACCUACAGCCCGGAGAUGAUAGGUACAUCCAGAUGCCUCUGGGUUCCAGUCCAGGAGCCUUGGGAACCUCAAAAGAUUUUCAGUAGGCAGUGGCCUGAACAGGUUUUUCAAAACCCUCUCUACCCCAGCUACUGCGUGGAGCAGUUCAGAAUGGGGAAAGGAUGUGCUCUGGUUCAUCUACAUAUCCCUGCUCUUUGCCUCCCAUCAGAGAGUUCCCAGCAGAUGUUUGUGUGUGAAUAUAGAAGUGGGUGUGCAAUGUCAGAGAAUUUGGGGGGCUUUCUGGACAAUCCAAAAUGUUGGUACGGUGAGUCCAGUCAAGUGGGUAAGAGCACCCAUUCUGAGAGCUGGGUUCAUAUCCUGCCACCAUCACUUACCUACCAGCUGUGUGAAUCUGGGCAAGGCACUUAACAGUGCCUCGGUUUCCCCAUCUGUAAAAUGGGGGUGGUAAUACUAGCACUAAUAAUAGUACUUUCCUCAUAGGUCUGUUUUGACUCAACUCACGCAAUGCCAUGCUUUAUAUAGAGAAAGGCCUCGGGAAAGGCUGGCUGUGAUGAGGGGUUAAGAGUACAAUAAAGAGGGCGCCCGGGUGGCUCAGCUGGUUGGGCGACUGCCUUCGGCUCGGGUCGUGAUCCUGGAGUCCUGGGAUCGAGUCCCGCAGUCCCGCAUCGAGCUCCCUGCUCGGCGGGGAGUCCGUUUCUCCCUCUGACCCUACCCUCUCUCAUGCUCUCUAUCUCAUUCUCUCUCUCAAAUAAAUAAAUAAAAUCUUAAAAAAAAAAAAAGAGUACGAUAAAGAAACCACUAAAAUGCUGCAAACCCUCCUCGUACUGCCCUCCUCAUACUGCCACGAAUGCCCAGAAAGUUCCCCCCCGGGGUGGGAGUUGUUUUAUUCCCCGUUGGCUCUAGCGUGGUGCAUAGAGCUCUGCUCCCGGUAGGGGGCGCAGUAAAUAUUGACUCAACCAGCGAACAAGCCCGGAGUUUCCUAUGGACCAGAAUUCACCUCUUACGAUAACCCCAAACCUAAAGAAUCCCACAAAAGCAAAAACUGUAACAGAGGGUAAUUAUUUGAGGGACGACCCCCGAAUGUGACAGUGGGUGAGGAAAAGCAUCUCUUAUCGAAAAGAUUGUGUGUGUGUUUUAAGAUUUUUAAAGGAAUCUCUACACCCAACUCGGGGCUCGAACUCACAGCCCCGAGAUCAAGAGUCCCACGUUCCCCUGACUAAGCCAGCCAGGUGCCCCCAAAAGACUGUGUUUUGAGACAAAUGUUUGCUCGCUCAGAAAAAGCAGAAAAGGUUUGGGGUGGCAAGCCGCAACAAAUAGUCAUUAAAGCAAAAUUAGUACAGGUCUUAAAUUCCCGAGGUUGCAAAACAGCCUGGCUGAGGUCAUUUGUGCCUAAUUAUUGUGCCCAAUAAUUACCUUGACUAAUUAGAGCAAAGGUUUUGGAGUAUGUUUCUAUUCCCAGACACUGAGUCAUCAG